GGUCCGUCCAUUGUGGUCGAGGCGCAUCAUCGCGGUAAUUAAGCCAACGUGGUUUCAUCAGCCGGCCCAGACACCGCGACGCCUCCACCGCGUAACGGUUCUGCUGGGCUUCCGAGAAAAUCUAAAUCAUCCUCCGGCGGCGCCGCUGCCACUUGCGUCAGAUCAUCAAAAUACUCAUGUCGAAACCAUGUUCAACCAUCGACGGACAAGCUGGUACACAAUGGGACAAAAGGCGGGCGCCAUUUUACACAAACACCCCCGCAUAAACAGCGUGUGAGUGUUUGUGUGUGCAUGUAGCUUAACCGAAAGAAUUACGAGUAAUUAAUCUGUGUCUUGAAACCUGAUGCAAUGCAAUAGCCCAUUGUUUGAAAGGUGUGUGCAGAAGUGACUAGCGCUGAUGGGAACUUCUACUUGAACGUCAGGUUGGCUCCAAAAGACCACUUCACUCGGCUUUAUAUGUCAGGAAAAGGCCUUUUGCAUCGACGCGUGUGCUGGCCUCAAGCGGGCUAAAAUGUUGGGGACACACAUUAGAAGGUAUGCGUUUUAUGCAAUCGCCCCGGGUAUGCCAUCAUCGACAUCAUUAUGAUCGGUUGGUUUGUAGUUUAGUGGAUAUGCGAGCAAUAAAUAACGGAGAAUCGUAACGAAACCGUCUUCCUCAUACUGGGGAUCUUAGAUCACUUGCGUAAUUGUUAUGGUUAUGAAACACGGUGUAAAAAAUACCGUAAUUAUCAAAUUAAAUUACUAAUUUAUAAUCUAUACCUUUGUCUAAAACCAUUUGAUUGCUGUGAUCCUAGAUCACCUUUGGCUAAAACAUGAAAGUAUAUAUUUUUCAUGAUACAUGCAUUUUACUAAAAUACACCUUUUUAACGGGAGUAGACUAUUUCCUCAAGUCAUCAAUGUUAUUUAACAAUGUGAGUAACGUCUCAGAACUGAUUUGUGCCCUUUGAAGAUGUUUGUAUAAAUUGUCAGUUUUAUUGGCAAAAGUUGCUAGAGAACAAUAGAGCAAUUCUCCCCAUACUUUGGAAACGGUUAUCAUUUGUUUUUUUUAUUUGGCUCAAACUUUUUGGGGGCCUUUUUGUGUUGAUUCACCCAAAGCAGGAGUUUUCUGAUGGAUUUGGUGUUUUCGAUAAAGAUGAGAACUAUUCCCAAUCGAUGGGUCUAUUCCCAAUUGGCAUCGAUGAGAACUAUUCCCAAUUUAAAAUAAGCUUUAAACAAGCUAAGGAAAUGCUCGUUAUAACCCAUAAAAAACGUUAAAAAAUCUGUCGGAUUUAUUGGAAUCAUCUUAUUCCAGGUCUUGACAGAGACUUUGAUAGAACAAGUUUUAAAAAAAAUCUGUUUUUUAAUGCAAAAAAUUGAUUUGAUUUUUUUGAUUUUUCGUACGUUCUACUCAACUAUUGGGGCAAGACGAAUAACCCGUUGGGGCAAGAGGAACAAUGCAUGAAAAAACAUGCUAAUUUACUAACAAUUGAACUAUUAUCACUUCGAUUAAGAUGUAUUUGAAAAGUUUCUUUCAUUUUUAGAUUAAAAAAUAAUCUAUAUAUAUAAAAAAUUUCGAAGGUUUUGUUCGAACGCGAAUCAGUUGAACACGGAACGUCGGAUCGGAGCGCUCUUUGCUGCGUUGGGUUCGUAUAAGCCCAAGGAAGGUUCUUACGCUAAUAAGUUGGCACUUUGGCCACUCUGAGACCGAUUCCGGAACACCACCGUUUGUAUGGGAAAUGAAACGAAAAACUGAAUUUUGAUCAUAGGAGGCGUAAAGAUAUUUUCAAACAAAAAAAAAACAAAACGUCAAAACGGAAAAGUUUAAUGUAGAAGGUGGUAGAAAAUACAGUUUUUAGUAGGAUAAAUAAUCAAACUAAAAAAGGAAAGCUGUUUGGUCAGUCGAAAAAAUAAACCUAUUUGGCAGAGCACCCAGGCCGCAAACAAUAAAAAUGAAAGAGUAAAAGUAGAUUGCAAAAAAACAAACGAGGAACAAAUGAACAUUAGAAUACACUAAUCAACGAAGCAAAACAAACUAAGAAAGGUACUUCGUGAUUUUUGUACCAAACCAGUUUGUACCUUUCAAACUUCAAUGUAUUUUAUGGAACAACAACAAAAUUGUAUGAAAAAAAGUAUAAGGAUCAGUUCGAUAAAAGAACAAUUAAAAAAUUAACUUCAGAAGAAAAUAAGAAACAAAAGCAAACAAUUAAACAGGGCUUUUCAAUGGACUAUAUGAGGAAAGAAGGAGGA
Culex pipiens pallens (northern house mosquito) is the source of this 2226-nucleotide long non-coding RNA. RefSeq lists it as uncharacterized. The transcript is spliced from 2 exons. The record is from RefSeq and is a predicted model, not a curated record. Lineage: Eukaryota; Metazoa; Arthropoda; Insecta; Diptera; Culicidae.